ACGAACGCUGGCGGCGUGCUUAACCCAUGCAAGUCGAACGGUGAAGCGCCUUCCUUUUUGGUGGGUGUGGAUGAGUGGCGAACGGGUGAGUAACACGUGAGUAACCUGCCCCCUUCUUCUGGAUAACCGCAUGAAAGUGUGGCUAAUACGGGAUAUUCUGGGUCUGUCGCAUGAUGGGUCUGGGAAAGAUAUUGUUUCGGUGGGGGAUGGGCUCGCGGCCUAUCAGCUUGUUGGUGGGGUGAUGGCCUACCAAGGCGGUGACGGGUAGCCGGCCUGAGAGGGUGGACGGUCACACUGGGACUGAGACACGGCCCAGACUCCUACGGGAGGCAGCAGUGGGGAAUAUUGCACAAUGGGCGCAAGCCUGAUGCAGCGACGCCGCGUGAGGGAUGGAGGCCCGCGGGUUGUGAACCUCUUUCGCCAGUGAAGCAGGCCUGCCUCGUUUGUGGGUGGGUUGACGGUAGCUGGAUAAGAAGCGCCGGCUAACUACGUG
Molecule: ribosomal RNA, 493 nt
Filed under: uncultured bacterium
Lineage: Bacteria
Description: partial 16S ribosomal RNA
Rfam family: Bacterial small subunit ribosomal RNA
Source: RNAcentral